Beta vulgaris subsp. vulgaris (sugar beet) is the source of this 899-nucleotide long non-coding RNA. RefSeq lists it as uncharacterized. The transcript is spliced from 2 exons. Lineage: Eukaryota; Viridiplantae; Streptophyta; Magnoliopsida; Caryophyllales; Amaranthaceae. The record is from RefSeq and is a predicted model, not a curated record.
ACUAGUUAGGUAAUCAUAAAUGACCUAUAACAAUCUUAUGACUCAUUUCAUAUAGUUUUAUUUUGGAAAAUUUGUCAAAAACCACCUUUUAUAACCACUUUUUUUUUUUUUUUGAAAAACCACUUUUUAAUUUUUUUUGUUAAUUAGCCACCUUUUUUUUUUUUUUUGGUUAAAAGCCACCUUUUACCGGAAAAUAGUAAUUGAUCGAUAAACUCCAGCGUUGACCGUCACGUGCAUGGCACGUGAUGUCAUUAAUCCCUUCUUCUUUUUUUUUCCAGAUUUUCCCCCCAAAUGCACCCUCUUCCUUCAUCUCUCUCUCCCUUCGAUUCACAAAUCAUGCUACAACUUGGAUUCAUUCUAGUAUUAUUGAUGGAAUUCAAGCUCUUUACAUAAAAUCCCCUGUAACAAAGAUUUAAUUCUUGGUGUUUGUGACUUUUGGUGUCCGAAGACUAAUUCUUUCAUAUUUCCAUAAGGUGAAGCUACAAUUACUCUUGAAGAUGUCAUGAUUCUCGAUGGUUUACCUGUAAUUCGUGAGUCUUUUAACAAACACAUUAAAGAAAAUUCUUUGAAAAUUGAUGGUGAAUUAAGAAGGGCAAUAAAGGAAAUCUCUGAAAAGAGUGUUGAGAAUGGAGGAGAGAGAGGCUACUCACUCAGCUUGGAUUAAGCAUUUCAGGGAAGAAGAAGAAGGUGAAAUUGAACAUGAAGAAGGAAUCCACCUUCGAUAACAGAAGAGAACAGAAGUAUUACACAAGAACUAAAAGUGGAGAAGCAAAUUUCAGCAGUGUAUAUUAUUAUUUGGUGUCCUUUAGAAAAAAAAGGUGUGUAUCAAUUACGAUGGCUGUUUACAUGCACACUCAUCCAAAGCCAUACAUACCCAGCAACCGUAAUUAAAAAGUAUA